GCAUUUACUGACUUCCACAGUUAUACCAAGAAAUGUUUACACGGAUGAUGAUAAGCACAUGUGCAAAUGCAGCGUUUUCACCGACCCGGGUAACCAACUCCCGGCUGCAGUUCUCUGCACGGAGAUGAGGCUUGAUGGGGAAACUCCGCAGCGACCUGAGCCUAGAGGAGCAGCUGGGCACGGUGGGCAGAGCCCGGUGUGGACAGGCGCUGGGUCCUGCACCUGGCUGGGGGGAGCUGCAGGCGCCAGGGUCAAGUUGAGGGUGUGCUAGUCCUGGCCUCCGGCCUCAGGUGGCCCACUCUGCCCUCUGCCUGUUUCCUCCCUUGUAAAGUGGGGAGGAACGGACCAUCACAAGCCAGGGUUGGUGGCACAUGCUGUGGUCUCAGCCACUCAGGAGGCUGCACCUGGAGGGUCACUUGUGUCCCAGAGCUGCGCUCCAGCCUGGGCAACGCUGAGACUCGGGCUCUGAAAACCCACAAAACGUAUAAGAUGAACGCAGAUAAACGAUGGGAGCCUGGUAUGUGGUGAGCACGCUGCAGGUGGCAGCCUGGAACCCAGGACAGGUCACUGCCUGGUGGAAAACAAGCCUGUCUUUGGGGCCAGCCAGCUAACAAGUGAGCGUUUCACCCCAUCUGAAGGCAAAGUACCCAAAUGGGCAACCGUGGACAGCUAAGUAAAAAUGAGGACUCCUGGGAUGCCUUCUCAGGACACAUUCUUAAUAAACAGAUACGUGCAUGAGGACAUUGUGUGUAUUUCUAUGCAGCAGACCACCCCAAACCUCAGUGAGCAAAAACCUGUCUUCACUGCUCAUGACCCUGUGGGCCUGCAGCUUGAGCCGGUUCAGCUGGGACGGCUUCCCUCGGCCCCACGAGGUGACCACUGGGCCUACUUAUCCGCAGAGGCCCCCGGCAGAUCCGGGCCAUGUGUCACCAGUCCCUACAGGCUGGCCGGGCCUCCUUCCCGGCAGGUCUCCAUCGGCAGCGAGAGAAAGCAAAUCCCUGUGGUGUUUCCAUCCAUCUCCCCAGGAGAAGCAGAGCAGCAGAAAGCGGAUGGUGGCCAAGGCCGGGACCCUCUGCUGUUCCCACAGGCCUCUCCAGAGGCUCUGCAGGACCAGCCAGCAGCCUCAACUGGUCCCUUCCUGUUCCACACCCUCAGAUGCCAUCCUCUCCACAGAGAUGGUUUCUGCCAUGGUGCUCUCCCUAACUUGGAAGAAUGGCACUCCCCUUGGGCUGAUGUCAGGGAGAACAGCAGUUUCCAGUCGCCUGGGCCCAGGACAGGGUGUUCCCAGCUGUCGUGA
This 1297-nucleotide long non-coding RNA is filed under the name Callithrix jacchus (white-tufted-ear marmoset). Its description in RNAcentral is "lncRNA (ENSCJAG00000072980.1)". The record is from RNAcentral. Lineage: Eukaryota; Metazoa; Chordata; Mammalia; Primates; Cebidae.